UACAGAGGUCCCAAGCGUUGUUCGGAUUCACUGGGCGUAAAGGGUGCGUAGGCGGUUGGAUAAGUCUGAUGUGAAAUCUUCGAGCUCAACUCGGAAACUGCAUCGGAAACUAUCCGGCUUGAGGGUUGGAGGGGAGACUGGAAUUCUCGGUGUAGCAGUGAAAUGCGUAGAUAUCGGGAGGAACACCUGUGGCGAAAGCGGCUCACUGGACCACAACUGACGCUGAGGCGCGAAAGCCAGGGGAGCAAACGGG
RNAcentral lists this ribosomal RNA (253 nucleotides) under uncultured bacterium. RNAcentral's name for it is "partial 16S ribosomal RNA". It matches the Rfam family "Bacterial small subunit ribosomal RNA", at positions 524 to 776 of the family's 1533-position model. The record is from RNAcentral.